GACGAACGCUGGCGGCGUGCUUAACACAUGCAAGUCGAACGAGAAUCUGCGGAAAGAGGAUUCGUCCAAUUGAAGCAGAGGACAGUGGCGGACGGGUGUGUAACGCGUGAGGAACCUGCCUUUCAGAGGGGGACAACAGUUGGAAACGACUGCUAAUACCGCAUGACACAUUGGGGUCGCAUGGCCCUGAUGUCAAAGAUUUAUCGCUGAAAGAUGGCCUCGCGUCUGAUUAGCUAGUUGGUGAGGUAACGGCCCACCAAGGCGACGAUCAGUAGCCGGACUGAGAGGUUGAACGGCCACAUUGGGACUGAGAUACGGCCCAGACUCCUACGGGAGGCAGCAGUGGGGAAUAUUGGGCAAUGGGCGCAAGCCUGACCCAGCAACGCCGCGUGAAGGAAGAAGGCUUUCGGGUUGUAAACUUCUUUUGUCAGGGACGAGUAGAAGACGGUACCUGACGAAUAAGCCACGGCUAACUACGUGCCAGCAGCCGCGGUAAUACGUAGGUGGCAAGCGUUGUCCGGAUUUACUGGGUGUAAAGGGCGUGUAGCCGGGAGGGCAAGUCAGAUGUGAAAUCCACGGGCUUAACUCGUGAACUGCAUUUGAAACUGUUCUUCUUGAGUAUCGGAGAGGCAAUCGGAAUUCCUAGUGUAGCGGUGAAAUGCGUAGAUAUUAGGAGGAACACCAGUG
RNAcentral lists this ribosomal RNA (687 nucleotides) under uncultured Lachnospiraceae bacterium. RNAcentral's name for it is "bacterial SSU rRNA". It matches the Rfam family "Bacterial small subunit ribosomal RNA", at positions 28 to 714 of the family's 1533-position model. Lineage: Bacteria; Bacillati; Bacillota; Clostridia; Lachnospirales; Lachnospiraceae. The record is from RNAcentral.